GGAGAGAUGGCCGAGUGGUUUAAGGCGCACGCUUGGAAAGCGUGUAAAGGGGCAACUCUUUCGCGGGUUCGAAUCCCGCUCUCUCCG
RNAcentral lists this transfer RNA (87 nucleotides) under alpha proteobacterium HIMB114. It matches the Rfam family "tRNA". Rfam says of the family: Transfer RNA (tRNA) molecules are approximately 80 nucleotides in length. Their secondary structure includes four short double-helical elements and three loops (D, anti-codon, and T loops). Further hydrogen bonds mediate the characteristic L-shaped molecular structure. tRNAs have two regions of fundamental functional importance: the anti-codon, which is responsible for specific mRNA codon recognition, and the 3' end, to which the tRNAs corresponding amino acid is attached (by aminoacyl-tRNA synthetases). tRNAs cope with the degeneracy of the genetic code in two manners: having more than one tRNA (with a specific anti-codon) for a particular amino acid; and 'wobble' base-pairing, i.e. permitting non-standard base-pairing at the 3rd anti-codon position. Lineage: Bacteria; Pseudomonadati; Pseudomonadota; Alphaproteobacteria; Candidatus Pelagibacterales; Candidatus Pelagibacteraceae. The record is from Rfam by way of RNAcentral.